GCGAAAGUGGCGGAAUGGUAGACGCGCGAGACUUAGGAUCUCGUGGCCCUGUGCCGUGGGGGUUCGAGUCCCUCCUUUCGCA
Molecule: transfer RNA, 82 nt
Filed under: Gemmatimonadota bacterium
Lineage: Bacteria; Pseudomonadati; Gemmatimonadota
Description: Gemmatimonadetes bacterium (freshwater metagenome) tRNA-Leu
Rfam family: tRNA
About the family: Transfer RNA (tRNA) molecules are approximately 80 nucleotides in length.
Source: RNAcentral